GGUGCCCGACCGUGUUUGCCACCGGCAUGUCGCCUGAGCCAACACGUACACAAUGGGAUGCGGCGUCAGGACCCCGCUCGACGAGCGCGGCCCGCCCGCAGCCCCCCUGCUUCGGCAGGUUCAGAGCCAAAUCCGGAGCGGCACGGUGGGGCCUCC
RNAcentral lists this non-coding RNA (156 nucleotides) under Thermoleophilia bacterium. Its description in RNAcentral is "6S RNA". It matches the Rfam family "6S / SsrS RNA". Rfam says of the family: E. coli 6S RNA was the first non coding RNA to be sequenced, but its function was unknown until recently. It consists of 184 nucleotides that fold into an extended hairpin structure with a large single-stranded internal bulge. Lineage: Bacteria; Bacillati; Actinomycetota; Thermoleophilia. The record is from RNAcentral.